RNAcentral lists this long non-coding RNA (2139 nucleotides) under Struthio camelus australis. RNAcentral's name for it is "lncRNA (ENSSCUG00000010566.1)". Lineage: Eukaryota; Metazoa; Chordata; Aves; Struthioniformes; Struthionidae. The record is from RNAcentral.
CUCCAGUUUCUCUUCUUGCUCCCUAAUGCUGUGCUUCAAACGGAACAGAACAGAUCACUACAGAUCUUAUGUUUUCAUAUUUAUUUUAGGGUUUUACAGGAUUAAGCAGGAGAAGAUGAGCUGUGAAUGUGCAGAUGCAGAAGGAAGUACAACAUCUUCUAAAUAUAAACUACAUCAAUAUUACUGAGAUUACCAUGCAUGGACAGAACAUGCAUAAGGCUUCAGAGGAAACUGUUUGUGAUUUCCUGCUUCUGCUACAGGAGUUCUCCGCCUCCCUCUGUCCUUGGCUCCCACUUCACAAGUUGUCAAGCAUGUGUAUGUGACAGGGAAGUCACUAUCCUGUUUCUAGAAGAUGGGAAAGACAUAGAGGAUGAAGGAGAGCAAGAGAGAGGAUGGUUCAGAACUCAAGGAAGAUCUGGAAAUAUUCUGCAAAAUGGAUUCUGUGGUAAACUCCUUAGCAAAGGUAAUACUGGGCAAAUCACUGUUGUUUUUCCCUGUGCUUUAACAUACUCAGAAGUGCAUCUUUCAAGACGAAGUACAUAAAAUCUAUUUUCAAAAAUGUUUCAUCUCGGCAACUGUAAUGUUAAAUCAGUGGGAGCCAGAAGUGCUCAAUACCUCUGAAAAUGUGUGUCAAAGUCCCCUUACAUAGAAGGAUUUUUAAUGAGGAUGUUCCAUUUCCCAGAAGAAUCUCCAGCUACAGACUUAUUGGAUAAAAGAGGAGAUUCUUAUUCUCCCAUUAUUUUCUGUUAGGUUAACUAUUUUUGAGAGUACUUUUUGUAUUUUUACUAUAGGUUACAUAAUGGUCCAAACCUUAAUUUUAACCCAGUGAUGGAUGAGAAGUUGGCAAGGGAUCAAUGCUGUUCAGUGCUGUUGAAACACAAUAAUCUGAUGCAUGUUCAGAAGCGGAUGCUUAAGCACCCUCAAAAACACUACAAAUGAGGUUUAGGCAACUCAAGGUUUGAAUGGCAACUGAGCAGAUGGUUCAAGAAUUUUGGACUUGGGGUGUCUAAAGAAACAUUUGUCGUGUAAAAAACACCAAGGGAUAGAAACACAUAUUAACUCCAAAACCAGGACUUACUGGGAUUACUUAUCCUCCUGAAAACUAGGAAUUAGUUGCUCAGGUGGAGUGCUAAUUUUAGAGGGUGCAACUACCAUAUUUUUAUGGCAUUUUGCUCCUUGAUUUAGAAAUAUCAUCCGGGGGUUGGGGCUUGCUUGGGUCUCUUUUCACUGCCUCUGUGUGCAGUACAGGUUACUCUAGGGGACAUUCAGACCCCUGAGCUGCAAUCCUCGAAGAUACCGCAGUGUUUCUUUUCAGCGUCUAGUUCCCACUAUGCUAACUCAGAGUUGGAUAUUAAAUACCUUUGUGUAUCUAGCCCUUAAAUCCUUUUAAGGAUCUAGCCCUUGGAUACAGAGAUGAGCACUAUAAAAAAGCCCAAGAGGAAAUGAAUAAUUCCUUAUUGCAGGGUUUGCAUAGUAGGUAGGCACAUAUUGAAGGAAGAGGAUGAAAAGGAAUAUUGAGCGGCUGCUGCCUCAAUCUCAGCACAAUGACCAUCAUCCUGUACACACAGCAAAGCAAAUAUCCUGUGGGAAAAACAUCACAUUAACACAACAACACAUUAUUACAUGUAAUAAUAUGAUUGCUACCCCUAAUACUUAUUCAUAUCAAGUUAGAAUUUAACCUGAGGUUGGAAUUAACCUGAGCGAGAUUAGUUUAUGGACUGUACAUUUCUUGAUCAUUUGAUACAGCAUAGUUUGGCAUAGCAUUUUUUGUGAUAGAUAACAAGAAUAUUUACAACAAAUAACCAUUUGCUACACUAAUAGCUGCAUGUACUGAAUAAGCAGCCUCAUAGUUCAUUCCAGACAUUUUAGGACCACAGAGACUGCACUGGAAAAUAGUUUAUGUGAUUGUACAAAUGUAUCCUCAGCUUCUUUUCUUCCUCUUCCUUCUACUUAUUUUUCUCAGACAUUUUAAAAAAUUUCUAAUAGUCAGCUUUUUUGAGCUGAAGGGCAGUGCCAAGCAAAUUCAGUCAUUUUCAAAGCCUUAGGGUACUAUUAUAGAACAAAUGAAUAAGUAAGUAUGUAAAGAAUGGAAAAAAGAAAGUUAAUAAAAAAAAUUGUUAAUUUCUGUAGGGUCUGAGC